UGCCCGGAUAGCUCAGUCGGUAGAGCAGGGGAUUGAAAAUCCCCGUGUCCUUGGUUCGAUUAUUCGCCGCACAGC
This 75-nucleotide transfer RNA is filed under the name Klebsiella pneumoniae. RNAcentral's name for it is "tRNA-Phe(gaa)". It matches the Rfam family "tRNA", at positions 1 to 59 of the family's 71-position model. From Rfam's summary of the family: Transfer RNA (tRNA) molecules are approximately 80 nucleotides in length. Their secondary structure includes four short double-helical elements and three loops (D, anti-codon, and T loops). The record is from RNAcentral. Lineage: Bacteria; Pseudomonadati; Pseudomonadota; Gammaproteobacteria; Enterobacterales; Enterobacteriaceae.